CCAAUAGCGUAUAUUAAAGUUGUUGCAGUUAAAAAGCUCGUAGUUGAAUUUCGGGAUUGGCGCAUCGGUCGUGCCCCACGGGGUAUGAACUGGUGCAGUCAAUUUCUCACCUUCUGGAGAACCGCGAUGUCCUUAAUUGGAUGCCGCGGGGAACCAGGACCUUUACUUUGAAAAAAUUAGAGUGUUUAAAGCAGGCAUUUUGGUUUGAAUACAUUGGCUGGGAUUAAUAAAAUAGGACGACAUGGUUCUAUUUUGUUGGUUUCUAGGACCACCGUAAUGAUUAAUAGGGAUAGUUGGGGGCAUUAGUAUUCAAUUGUCAGAGGUGAAAUUCUUGGAUUUAUUGAAGACUAACUACUGCGAAAGCAUUUGCCAAGGAUGUUUUCAUUAAUCAAGAACGAAAGUUAGGGGAUCGAAGACGAUCAGAUACCGUCGUAGUCUUAACCAUAAACUAUGCCGACUAGGAAUCAGACGAUGUUAAUUUUUUAAUGACUCGUUUGGCACCUUACG
This 507-nucleotide ribosomal RNA is filed under the name uncultured Glomeromycotina. RNAcentral's name for it is "partial small subunit ribosomal RNA". It matches the Rfam family "Eukaryotic small subunit ribosomal RNA", at positions 591 to 1092 of the family's 1831-position model. The record is from RNAcentral. Lineage: Eukaryota; Fungi; Glomeromycota.